CUUUUUUUGAUGUUUCUAUGUUUAGGUUUAAGGUUUAAACUAGAUGAUGCAUCUUAUUACUUCCAAAUGAUUCAAAUAAUGAGAUGAAGAAUAUAAAACAUCUUCAAAUUAAGAUACAAUCAAUUACAUACAUUUAAAGCAUUCUCGGAUAUCUAAAAUCGGAUCGAGUGGCGAUGCUUCUCGUCGAUAUCUAGAUCAUCAACAUAAUAAGGAGGCAAAUCAAUCCAUCCCUCUAACCAAGCGGCGUUGUAGUUUUGUAUGCUCAAUCUCCGAGGAAUGCGCGUCGGGUCAUAAGAAUUCUUGGAUCUCUCGCUGAAGCUCUGGCUCUGAGAGAUGUUUGUCUUGAUAAUAUGUUUGUGGAGGGGCCCAUCCGAAUAUUGCGCCACCAAAAAUCAACCCGUAAGACCCUCCGGGCUGCGCAGGGUAGUAGCUACCGGAAGAUGAUUCCGAUGCACCAUAUCCAUAGGCUAGUUGAGGCCGUGGAUAAUAAGAAGACUCGGAAUUUAAUACAUCAAUGGAUCCUACUCCACAUGAGAGGUCAUCUACAGCUGUAUCCUGACCUCCUAAACGACCCCGAGGAGCCCGUCUUCGAUAUGCAAUGGUGUCCGACCGGGGUCUAUCAGACGAUCUACCAUGGUCCGUAUCUUAUGUCGCAUGUGUAAAC
Molecule: long non-coding RNA, 664 nt
Filed under: Phoenix dactylifera (date palm)
Lineage: Eukaryota; Viridiplantae; Streptophyta; Magnoliopsida; Arecales; Arecaceae
Description: long non-coding RNA (PDAC_LNC015735)
Source: RNAcentral